Molecule: long non-coding RNA, 739 nt
Organism: Gadus morhua (Atlantic cod)
Lineage: Eukaryota; Metazoa; Chordata; Actinopteri; Gadiformes; Gadidae
Exons: 4
Source: RefSeq, a predicted model, not a curated record
GCCAAGAAGGGGGUCUGUUUAUAAAGAGCAUCAACUCGCUUAGGCCAUGACGUUCACCCAUCCCUUCCUCUGGAGCAACCGCUGCCCUGUGAAUAAGAGCCGAUGGAGGAGAUCUCAGCUUCGGUGGUGAUGACAGAACAUGAUUUCGGUUCUGCUCCUAAACCAGGUGCACUGGAUGCUGCUGCUGUAAACAUACAGCAAUUGGAAGAAACAGUCAAGGCGCUGAUGAGAGCUGUCACAGCUGAAAGUGGUUCAAGUGCAUUUUCACAGAUUCUGUGUCUCAGACGCGGACAUCCUUUUUUACACCAGAUUCACGUCAAGAGAUGUUUUUUGUGACUUCUGGGAGGUUAUUCAACCAUCUGCCUCCAAGUUGGUUUAUUGGUCGAAAGCUCAGAAAAAGAAACAAACAUUUGAACCCAUUUCUCCCGGUCCAACGUGUAGACUGCAACUGGUUGAGUUUUUUCUCUUCUGCUGCCGGGUUGCUGCAGGCCUGCAAGAGAAGGUGCUGGCUGACAUGUUUCAGAGCUGACUGAACGAAGUGGACUGCUGGAUUUACUGGAGCCAGGAGAUGGCUGCAUGGCAGACAAGGGUUUCACCAUCGAGACGCCACUAGCUGAUCGUGGGGCAACGCUGAUUAUACCACCCUUCAAGAUGACAGUUCACUGAAGAGGAUGCUCUGAAAACACAAGCAAUCGCUCGACUUCGAAUCCUCGUAGAAAGAGCAAUAGGCAGAGUCAAG